UUUGAUGGCGACCGGCGCACGGGUGAGUAACACGUAUCCAACCUGCUGAUGACUCGGGGAUAGCCUUUCGAAAGAAAGAUUAAUACCCGAUGGCAUAGUUCUUCCGCAUGGUAGAACUAUUAAAGAAUUUCGGUCAUCGAUGGGGAUGCGUUCCAUUAGGUUGUUGGCGGGGUAACGGCCCACCAAGCCUUCGAUGGAUAGGGGUUCUGAGAGGAAGGUCCCCCACAUUGGAACUGAGACACGGUCCAAACUCCUACGGGAGGCAGCAUG
This 270-nucleotide ribosomal RNA is filed under the name uncultured bacterium. Its description in RNAcentral is "partial 16S ribosomal RNA". It matches the Rfam family "Bacterial small subunit ribosomal RNA", at positions 84 to 353 of the family's 1533-position model. The record is from RNAcentral.